RNAcentral lists this ribosomal RNA (477 nucleotides) under Stypella subgelatinosa. RNAcentral's name for it is "partial large subunit ribosomal RNA". It matches the Rfam family "Eukaryotic large subunit ribosomal RNA", at positions 85 to 561 of the family's 3401-position model. The record is from RNAcentral. Lineage: Eukaryota; Fungi; Basidiomycota; Agaricomycetes; Auriculariales; Hyaloriaceae.
AACGGCGAGUGAAGAGGGAAAAGCUCAAAUUUUAAAUNAGGCGGUCUUCGGCCGUCCGAGUUGUAGUUUAGAGAGGUGCUUUCCGCGCUGGACCGUGUACAAGUCCCCUGGGAUGGGGCGUCAUAGAGGGUGAGAAUCCCGUCCAUGACACGGACUACCAGGGCUAUGUGUUGCGCCUUCAAAGAGUCGAGUUGUUUGGGAAUGCAGCUCAAAAUGGGUGGUAAACUCCAUCUAAAGCUAAAUAUUGGCGAGAGACCGAUAGCGAACAAGUACCGUGAGGGAAAGAUGAAAAGAACUUUGGAAAGAGAGUUAAACAGUGCGUGAAAUUGCUGAAAGGGAAACGCUUGAAGUCAGUCGCGUUCGGCGGGACUCAGCCUUGCUUCUGCUUGGUGCACUUCCUGUCGGACGGGUCAGCGUCCGAUUUUGACCGCUGGACAAUGGAGAGAGGAAUGNGGCACCUCCGGGUGUGUUAUAGCC